Molecule: transfer RNA, 77 nt
Filed under: Staphylococcus gallinarum
Lineage: Bacteria; Bacillati; Bacillota; Bacilli; Caryophanales; Staphylococcaceae
Description: tRNA-Thr(tgt)
Rfam family: tRNA
About the family: Transfer RNA (tRNA) molecules are approximately 80 nucleotides in length. Their secondary structure includes four short double-helical elements and three loops (D, anti-codon, and T loops).
Source: RNAcentral
GCCGGCCUAGCUCCAAUUGGUAGAGCAACUGACUUGUAAUCAGUAGGUUGGGGGUUCAAGUCCUCUGGCCGGCACCA